This is a non-coding RNA of Pelobates cultripes (western spadefoot toad), 328 nucleotides long. The record is from the annotation of a GenBank genome assembly. Lineage: Eukaryota; Metazoa; Chordata; Amphibia; Anura; Pelobatidae.
GGUGCUUGUUCCACACUUACAUAUAAUGAAAAUACGAAGGCCAAAGAGACGUCCCACUCGAACAGGUGCAAGUAAGCUUAAAAUCUAUAUAUUAGUGCGACAGAUCUGCGCUCUACAGUGAAAUUUCCCGGUGGGCUGGCCUUGAUGCCGCCUUUCCACCACCUGGCCUUGGAGACCUUAUAUGAGGUCUGAUUCUAGGUCUGUAUCAACUCGAUCUGCAAGCGAAUGUGUGCCAUGUUCUAGUUGUCUUACCGUUCUGUUUACUCUAUCCCUUGCCCUUAGUCCUAUCCUAGGAUGAUUCUUGCUUUGUGUUAUAAUGUUAAGCUCG